UGCAAGUCGAACGGUGAACCGCCUUCGGGCGGGAAUCAGUGGCGAACGGGUGAGUAACACGUGGGUAACCUGCCCUCCACUCUGGGAUAACUCCGGGAAACCGGGGCUAAUACCGGAUACGACCUGAGGCGGCAUCGCCUCGGGUGGAAAGUUUUUCGGUGGAGGAUGGACCCGCGGCCUAUCAGCUUGUUGGUGGGGUAAUGGCCUACCAAGGCGAUGACGGGUAGCCGGCCUGAGAGGGCGACCGGCCACACUGGGACUGAGACACGGCCCAGACUCCUACGGGAGGCAGCAGUGGGGAAUAUUGCACAAUGGGCGAAAGCCUGAUGCAGCGACGCCGCGUGAGGGAUGACGGCCUUCGGGUUGUAAACCUCUUUCAGCAGGGACGAAGCGCAAGUGACUGUACCUGCAGAAGAAGCACCGGCUAACUACGUGCCAGCAGCCGCGGUAAUACGUAGGGUGCGAGCGUUGUCCGGAAUUAUUGGGCGUAAAGAGCUUGUAGGUGGCUCGUUGCGUCGGGAGUGAAAACCCGCGGCUUAACCGCGGGCCUGCUUCCGAUACGGGCGAGCUAGAGUUCGGCAGGGGAGACUGGAAUUCCUGGUGUAGCGGUGGAAUGCGCAGAUAUCAGGAGGAACACCGGUGGCGAAGGCGGGUCUCUGGGCCGAUACUGACACUGAGAAGCGAAAGCGUGGGGAGCGAACAGGAUUAGAUACCCUGGUAGUCCACGCCGUAAACGUUGGGAACUAGGUGUGGGGUCCAUUCCACGGGCUCUGUGCCGCAGCUAACGCAUUA
This 792-nucleotide ribosomal RNA is filed under the name uncultured Actinomycetes bacterium. Its description in RNAcentral is "bacterial SSU rRNA". It matches the Rfam family "Bacterial small subunit ribosomal RNA", at positions 56 to 862 of the family's 1533-position model. The record is from RNAcentral. Lineage: Bacteria; Bacillati; Actinomycetota; Actinomycetes.